Molecule: non-coding RNA, 29 nt
Filed under: Rattus norvegicus (Norway rat)
Lineage: Eukaryota; Metazoa; Chordata; Mammalia; Rodentia; Muridae
Source: RNAcentral
GACAAGUUCAAUGUGCCAAUGGUGGUUUG